Molecule: ribosomal RNA, 253 nt
Filed under: uncultured bacterium
Lineage: Bacteria
Description: partial 16S ribosomal RNA
Rfam family: Bacterial small subunit ribosomal RNA
Source: RNAcentral
UACGUAGGUGGCAAGCGUUGUCCGGAAUUAUUGGGCGUAAAGCGCGCGCAGGCGGUCCUUUAAGUCUGAUGUGAAAGCCCACGGCUCAACCGUGGAGGGUCAUUGGAAACUGGGGGACUUGAGUGCAGGAGAGAAGAGUGGAAUUCCACGUGUAGCGGUGAAAUGCGUAGAGAUGUGGAGGAACACCAGUGGCGAAGGCGGCUUCCUGGCCUGUUCUUGACGCUGAGGCGCGAAAGCUAGGGGAGCAAACGGG